UAAGGAAUAUUGGUCAAUGGACGCAAGUCUGAACCAGCCAUGCCGCGUGAAGGAUGAAGGUCCUCUGGAUUGUAAACUUCUUUUAUCUGGGACGAAAACGGGAUUUUUAUCUCAAUUGACGGUACCAGAGGAAUAAGCACCGGCUAACUCCGUGCCAGCAGCCGCGGUAAUACGGAGGGUGCGAGCGUUAUCCGGAUUUACUGGGUUUAAAGGGUGCGUAGGUGGGCUUAUAAGUCAGUGGUAAAAUCUCCGAGCUUAACUUGGAAACUGCCGUUGAUACUAUAGGUCUUGAAUUAUCUGGAGGUAAGCGGAAUAUGUCAUGUAGCGGUGAAAUGCUUAGAUAUGACAUAGAACACCAAUUGCGAAGGCAGCUUACUACAUAUAAAUUGACGCUGAGGCACGAAAGCGUGGGGAUCAAACA
Molecule: ribosomal RNA, 421 nt
Filed under: uncultured bacterium
Lineage: Bacteria
Description: bacterial SSU rRNA
Rfam family: Bacterial small subunit ribosomal RNA
Source: RNAcentral